This 253-nucleotide ribosomal RNA is filed under the name uncultured bacterium. RNAcentral describes it as "partial 16S ribosomal RNA". It matches the Rfam family "Bacterial small subunit ribosomal RNA", at positions 524 to 776 of the family's 1533-position model. The record is from RNAcentral.
UACGGAGGGUGCAAGCGUUAUCCGGAUUCACUGGGUUUAAAGGGUGCGUAGGUGGUCUUGUAAGUCAGCGGUGAAAGCCUACAGCUUAACUGUAGAAUUGCCAUUGAUACUGCUUGACUUGAAUCAUGUUGAGGUGGAUGGAAUAUAUCAUGUAGCGGUGAAAUGCUUAGAUAUGAUAUAGAACACCAAUUGCGAAGGCAGUUCACUAAACAUGUAUUGACACUGAGGCACGAAAGCGUGGGGAUCAAACAGG